GAAUUUUAGUUAGCUAAUGAAUAUGUGGUUUUUUUCCAGACAAAUUUCAUUUUUUUACUGACCCGGUUUUUUUUCAUUUUAUUAAUGUAUUUUCAUCAUUAUCAUUUGAGAUAUGAUCUUGAUAUCUAAUCUCUUUUUCAAUAUAAAGAGAUUAGAUAUAAAGAGGUGACAAGAGAAAAAAGAUAGGGAUCUCAUUAUAAUAAAAAAAGAAGAAGAUUUCAUCUCUUGUCAACAUUGAUCAACCAUUUUUUAUAAAGAAUUGGAUUUUCAUGACAGUUUUCAAGCAUUCACAUACUUGAUAGUAGUGUGAAACAGAGUAGAAGUGGCCUUUUUAGAGAAGUAGGAAGCGAGUUUAGUGGCAAAUCCAAAAGUACAGAACAAAGGUUUGUUGACUGUUGUGUUAUCCAAUUUUGCAAAUUGCACCCAUAAAUUUGUAUACUAGACUUUAAUUGUAGCUGUUCUUAGAUCCUAGAUUCCAGCAAAACCAUUGACAAUGUCUUGAGAGACUUAGUUACAUAAUUGCUUUCUAUACCUUCUGCAUUGAUCAGCGCCAUUUUUUGUUACUCGGCCAUAGCUCUUAAGGGAACAACGUUGAUCCAAUUUGUAGACUUCCCAUGGAUCUUGUGACUAUGAAGUUUCCCUUCUCUUAUCUCCCCUAUGCAAACUUCUUGACAUACAUUAUUGUAUCUCCUCCUGUAACAACACAAGUGCUUUAUUGCAGCUCUUGUUCUAACAAACACUUUCUCAGAUACCGCUGCGUACGAAGCAGAAAUGUUCACCAAAACAGAAGAGAAAGCAAAGUAAGAAUCUUCAAAGGAGUAUU
This is a long non-coding RNA of Brassica rapa (field mustard), 823 nucleotides long. RefSeq lists it as uncharacterized. The record is from RefSeq and is a predicted model, not a curated record. Lineage: Eukaryota; Viridiplantae; Streptophyta; Magnoliopsida; Brassicales; Brassicaceae.